Molecule: long non-coding RNA, 613 nt
Organism: Ictalurus punctatus (channel catfish)
Lineage: Eukaryota; Metazoa; Chordata; Actinopteri; Siluriformes; Ictaluridae
Source: Ensembl
CGUUCAUACACUGUUCAUACACUAUGGACACUUUGGGCAUGCCAAUCAGUCUACCAUGCAUGUCUUUGGAAUGGGGAGGAAACCGGAGUACCUGGAGGAAACCCCCGCAGCACGGGGAGAACAUGCACACACAAGGCAGCAGGCAGGAAUCGAAUCCCCAAUGCUGAAGGUGUGAGGCGAAUGUGCUAACCACUAAGCCUAACAUAGGAUCUCUUCAUUGUGCUGGAGUCCUUUAAGGAUCCUCUUUACAAGCCUGUGCAUGAUGCAAACAGAAAUGGAUAUCUCUGAAAGCUGCCUUUUAAGCUAGCAGUCACUUCAGCUGCAUGCUCUGGUGAUAUGCUUACCUUGCAAGGAUUGAUGGCCAGAGGACUCUGGAGUGACCUUUGUUGCUGAACCCAGAAACCGAAGAGAAUAGGAAGGACAAGAGUGACAAAGUGUCCAAAAUGUCCAAACCAGAGCAUGGAGUUAAGACAUAGGAAAGGGUAAAGGAUGUGGCACGUACAGUAGUACGCACAUACUCAACCUGACUUCAUUAUUCACCCUGUACUGGAUUUACAGCGUUUUCAAUAGUGCAACUCACGCAUUUUACCAUGAUUACAAAUGACUAUUUAAG